GUGAUUAGAAACUUGGCAUUAAAAGCUCAAUCCUUAAACUGCCCACUGGGUACAUAACGAGGACGAGAGAUGAGUGGUGCUUCAGGGGACGUAGCAACCCUAAGGCCCCCCAUCUUCCCCCGCCCCCUGCCUGACACUUUCAAAAUAGGAUGGAUGCGGAACUUAAAACUUCUCCCCAACAGACUACUUAAACUUCUUUCUUAACUUCUACAACUUUCUCUAUCCUUUAAUCUAUCCUUUAUCUCCCCUACCUCUAAGGGAAUAACUACCACUACAAUUAUGACAGAAACCCUACUAAUACAUCUAUAUUGCUAGAAGGGAAGCUCCCUAUACGAAUCCGUGGGCCGUACCGACAAACAAAGGCCUGGCCGGGCCCCCUCAUAACACGUACGACCAUGGUCUAUAUUUGGCACUAUAACUAUACCUGGCCAUGGCAAGUCAUACAUAGCCAAUAACGAAAAGUAUGGGCGUGGGCCCAAGCACG
Pelobates cultripes (western spadefoot toad) is the source of this 484-nucleotide non-coding RNA. The record is from the annotation of a GenBank genome assembly. Lineage: Eukaryota; Metazoa; Chordata; Amphibia; Anura; Pelobatidae.